CUCUCUCUUUUGUUCUUCAUUCUACAUCUCAUAUUCUCAUAAUUCUCACAAUAGUGAUGUGAUUACACUUUUAACCUAUUUUCUUAUGUGUUUACUCUUCUUUAUCUUCUUCAUCUUCUCCAUAAUCACAAUUCACAACCAUUAACAUCAUAUAUAUGUUUGACCAUGGCAAUUUCCCACUUUUUCUAAAAAACCAAGUGCUUUUUUACAGUUUUUUUUGUCUCUAACCGUCCUCUAUGUCAACUUUCCAGAGAACACAUGUCCUCUCUCUUACAAGUCAUUAGCAUCAUCCCUACUCUAACCAAAGAUCUUACGAGAUGAGAAACAAGAAACGAAAUUCGAAUACAACUUCAAACAAUUCGAAUCUUUGUUACCAAUAAAAGCGUACCGUGAUGAGAAGAAGUCAGCACUUGAGGGUGAACUCAAGAAGCUGGUAAAGGAGUGUCCGGUGGAUGUUCUGAAGCACCAAAACGAAGAGACUGUAGCAGCUUCACCGAGAUCCGACAUCUCUGCAAUAAAUGGUCAAUGCUUUGGUAAACUCUGGGUUUUAAGAGUUAGUGUGGAUGUGGAUGAGUUAACAAGAACAAAGCUCUUCUCAGCUGAUGAUUUGGAGGCCACAUUACUGCAAGCAACUAUAAGAUGUGUCCACUAAAUAGUAUUCAAACAAAACUGACAAGAGUCACCCUUUUGUAGCCUCACUCAAAUAAAGGAAUCUAAAAAGAAGUUUGUCUACACCCAUUUUUUCAAGUAAAUUCAAUUAUUUUUGAAUAGUUUGAGAAAUUGCUAGGUGGUAAUCAUGGGCGUUAUAGAAGAUGAGUAUAGAUGUGUCUUGCCAUUCAUAAGAAAGGCAAAUAAAUAUAGAGAAAGAUGGAGUAAUCAGAUACAAAACCUGAUGAGAUCACUUUUCUGGGCGUUCAUGGAGGCUUUUCUACUGGAAGGUCUUAAAGAUAUUCUCGGAGAUGAAGACUAAAGAUCUGAAACCUCAAAAUGUGAAAUUGGGAGAAAAGGUUUGUCCUUAGUGUAG
Molecule: long non-coding RNA, 1024 nt
Organism: Raphanus sativus (radish)
Lineage: Eukaryota; Viridiplantae; Streptophyta; Magnoliopsida; Brassicales; Brassicaceae
Exons: 3
Source: RefSeq, a predicted model, not a curated record